This 496-nucleotide ribosomal RNA is filed under the name uncultured bacterium. RNAcentral describes it as "partial 16S ribosomal RNA". It matches the Rfam family "Bacterial small subunit ribosomal RNA", at positions 28 to 506 of the family's 1533-position model. The record is from RNAcentral.
GAUGAACGCUGGCGGCGUGCCUAAUACAUGCAAGUCGAGCGAACAGAUAAGGAGCUUGCUCCUUUGACGUUAGCGGCGGACGGGUGAGUAACACGUGGGUAACCUACCUAUAAGACUGGGAUAACUUCGGGAAACCGGAGCUAAUACCGGAUAACAUUUGGAACCGCAUGGUUCUAAAGUGAAAGAUGGUUUUGCUAUCACUUAUAGAUGGACCCGCGCCGUAUUAGCUAGUUGGUAAGGUAACGGCUUACCAAGGCAACGAUACGUAGCCGACCUGAGAGGGUGAUCGGCCACACUGGAACUGAGACACGGUCCAGACUCCUACGGGAGGCAGCAGUAGGGAAUCUUCCGCAAUGGGCGAAAGCCUGACGGAGCAACGCCGCGUGAGUGAUGAAGGGUUUCGGCUCGUAAAACUCUGUUAUUAGGGAAGAACAAAUGUGUAAGUAACGGUGCACGUCUUGACGGUACCUAAUCAGAAAGCCACGGCUAACUACGU